RNAcentral lists this unclassified non-coding RNA (1640 nucleotides) under uncultured fungus. RNAcentral's name for it is "sequence contains 18S rRNA gene, ITS1, 5.8S rRNA gene, ITS2, 28S rRNA gene". The stretch from base 614 to 1640 matches the Rfam family "Eukaryotic large subunit ribosomal RNA", at positions 1 to 961 of the family's 3401-position model. The record is from RNAcentral. Lineage: Eukaryota; Fungi.
GGAAGGAUCAUUAACAAAUCAAUUGUGCUACGAUGGGGGAAACCCGGUCGUAUGCAUAUAAACCCGAACCCGUGCAGCAAUGCCGGGCUAGGUGUGUGCACUAAUCACAGCAAUGUGGACAUAUUAGUGUGCACGGCCGAGAGUAAGUGCGCAAGUGCUUACCCAAAGCCAAAUAGACGCUUGUAUGUUUUGACAGAUCUAGUUGACAACACAAAAUUGACAACUUUUAACAAUGGAUCUCUUGGCUCUUGCAACGAUGAAGAACGCAGUGAAAUGCGAAACGUAAUGCGAUUUGCACGAAUCUGUGAGUCAUCAAGUCUUUGAACGCACCUUGCACCGUAUCAGUAAUGACACGGUAUACCUGUUUGAGAAUCGUAAACAUCCUCAUCUACACUCUCUUUUGCGUGUGGGUGGACGUGUCGGUUCAAUAGCAAUACUGUCCGAUUAAAUAGAGUAGGUCUGGAACAGGCUAGUGGCCUGGGACACUGUGUGCUAGAGACUUUGGUUCAGCAAUGAGCCCUGUCUUCUCACGGUGCGUCUCGGGUCAUUUAAAGCUAGCCUGGAAAGGUCCUUAACUGCGUCAAGCCUUCGUGCUUGAGCAACCCCCUCUCUUUGAUCUCAAAUCAGGUAAGGCUACCCGCUGAACUUAAGCAUAUCAGUAAGCGGAGGAAAAGAAACUAACAAGGAUUCCCCUAGUAACGGCGAGCGAAGCGGGAAGAGUUCAAAUUUAAAAUCUGUGUGGCUUUGCCACUCCGAAUUGUAAUUUAAAGAGGCGUUAUCUGGGUCGGUCUGGUGCUCAAGUCCCUUGGAAUAGGGCGUCACAGAGGGUGAGAACCCCGUCUGGGCACUGGUACUUGAUCCUAUAUGAUGCGCUUUCUACGAGUCGAGUUGUUUGGGAAUGCAGCUCAAAAUGGGUGGUAAAUUUCAUCUAAGACUAAAUACUGGCAAGAGACCGAUAGCGAACAAGUACCGUGAGGGAAAGAUGAAAAGCACCUUGAAAAGGGAGUUAAAUAGUGCGUGAAAUUGUUAAAAGGGAAACGAUUGAGACCAGUAUUGCCAUUAGUCGCUUGCGGCUAGUGUGCGAGUCAGCGUCAGUUUGGGCUUCCGGAGAGAGGUUAGAGGAAGGUGGGGUUGUCCCUUCGGGUCAACUCUUUAUAGACUCUAGCUGGCACGAGGAGCCUGGACUGAGGUGCGCGGCCGUAGUACUCAUUGCUCGAGCCCAAUCCCCAUGGCCAAGGACUACACGUAGACCUUGGCUGCAAGGAACGGAGGUAGGGUGGUGCAUACGGUUCAAGGAUGCUGACGAAAUGGUCUUAAACGACCCGUCUUGAAACACGGACCAAGGAGUCUAACACAUGUGCGAGUAUUUGGGUGGCAAACCCGAGUGCGUAAUGAAAGUGAUCUGGGUGAGAGCCUUGCCUCAGUGCUUGGUGCAUCAUCGGCCGAACCUUGAUGUCCUCUGAUAGGUUUGAGUAAGAGCAUAUUUGUUGGGACCCGAAAGGUAGUGAACUAUGCCUGGAUAGGAUGAAGCCAGAGGAAACUCUGGUGGAGGUCCGUAGCCGUUCUGACGUGCAAAUCGAUGGUCAAAUCUGGGUAUAGGGGCGAAAGACUAAUCGAACUACCUAGUAGCUGGUUCCCUC